GUCGAGCGGUAGAGAGAAGCUUGCUUCUCUUGAGAGCGGCGGACGGGUGAGUAAUGCCUAGGAAUCUGCCUGGUAGUGGGGGAUAACGUUCGGAAACGGACGCUAAUACCGCAUACGUCCUACGGGAGAAAGCAGGGGACCUUCGGGCCUUGCGCUAUCAGAUGAGCCUAGGUCGGAUUAGCUAGUUGGUGAGGUAAUGGCUCACCAAGGCGACGAUCCGUAACUGGUCUGAGAGGAUGAUCAGUCACACUGGAACUGAGACACGGUCCAGACUCCUACGGGAGGCAGCAGUGGGGAAUAUUGGACAAUGGGCGAAAGCCUGAUCCAGCCAUGCCGCGUGUGUGAAGAAGGUCUUCGGAUUGUAAAGCACUUUAAGUUGGGAGGAAGGGUUGUAGAUUAAUACUCUGCAAUUUUGACGUUACCGACAGAAUAAGCACCGGCUAACUCUGUGCCAGCAGCCGCGGUAAUACAGAGGGUGCAAGCGUUAAUCGGAAUUACUGGGCGUAAAGCGCGCGUAGGUGGUUUGUUAAGUUGGAUGUGAAAUCCCCGGGCUCAACCUGGGAACUGCAUUCAAAACUGACUGACUAGAGUAUGGUAGAGGGUGGUGGAAUUUCCUGUGUAGCGGUGAAAUGCGUAGAUAUAGGAAGGAACACCAGUGGCGAAGGCGACCACCUGGACUAAUACUGACACUGAGGUGCGAAAGCGUGGGGAGCAAACAGGAUUAGAUACCCUGGUAGUCCACGCCGUAAACGAUGUCAACUAGCCGUUGGAAGCCUUGAGCUUUUAGUGGCGCAGCUAACGCAUUAAGUUG
This 811-nucleotide ribosomal RNA is filed under the name Pseudomonas azotoformans. RNAcentral's name for it is "bacterial SSU rRNA". It matches the Rfam family "Bacterial small subunit ribosomal RNA", at positions 61 to 867 of the family's 1533-position model. Lineage: Bacteria; Pseudomonadati; Pseudomonadota; Gammaproteobacteria; Pseudomonadales; Pseudomonadaceae. The record is from RNAcentral.